CCCUUAGAUGUUCUGAACCGCACGCGUGUUACACUGAUGCAUUCAACGAGCUUUACCUUGGCCGAGAGGCCUGGGAAAUCUUUUUAGCAUGCAUCGUGAUAGGGAUUGAUUAUUGCAGUUAUUAAUCAUGAACGAGGAAUUCCUAGUAAACGCAUUUCAUCAAAAUGCAUUGAUUACGUCCCUGCCCUUUGUACACACCGCCCGUCGCACCUACCGAUUGAGUGGUCCGGUGAAGUCUCGAGAUUGUGGCAAUCUCCUUUAUUGGAGUUUGACUGCGAGAACUUGCCUAAACCUUAUCACUUAGAGGAAGGUGAAGUCGUAACA
Molecule: ribosomal RNA, 324 nt
Filed under: uncultured eukaryote
Lineage: Eukaryota
Description: partial 18S ribosomal RNA
Rfam family: Eukaryotic small subunit ribosomal RNA
Source: RNAcentral